This 481-nucleotide ribosomal RNA is filed under the name Aschiphasmatidae sp. SB0538. RNAcentral describes it as "partial large subunit ribosomal RNA". It matches the Rfam family "Archaeal large subunit ribosomal RNA", at positions 1999 to 2690 of the family's 2987-position model. Lineage: Eukaryota; Metazoa; Arthropoda; Insecta; Phasmatodea; Aschiphasmatidae. The record is from RNAcentral.
AUUAAAUGGCUGCGGUAUUUUGACCGUGCAAAGGUAGCAUAAUCAUUAGUUUAUUAAUUGUGAACUUGUAUGAAUGGUUUGAUGAAAUAUUGACUGUCUCAAUUUUAUAAUUAUAAUUUAACUUUUUAGUCAGAAGGCUUAAAUUUUUUUGUGGGACGAGAAGACCCUAUAGAUCUUUAUUGUUUAAUUUUUUAUUUAUUAUUUUAUAUUUAAAUUUAUUAAUAUAAUUUGGUUGGGGUGACAAGGGGAAAUAAUAAACUCUUCUUUAUUUUUUCAUUAAUUUAUGUUAUUUUAAUUUUGUAUUAUUUGUUUUAGAGUUAGAUACCUUAGGGAUAACAGCGUAAUUUAAUUUGAGAGUUCUUAUUGACAAUUAAGAUUGCGACCUCGAUGUUGGAUUAAGAUUAGAUUUUGAUGCAGAAGUUAAAAUUUCUUGGUCUGUUCGACCUAUAAAUUCUUACAUGAUCUGAGUUCAAAACCGGAG